UCCGAAGUGGUGGAAUUGGCAGACACGCUACUUUUAGGCAGUAGUGGUUAUCCGUGUGGGUUCAAGUCCCACCUUCGGAA
This 80-nucleotide transfer RNA is filed under the name Porphyromonadaceae bacterium. Its description in RNAcentral is "tRNA-Leu". It matches the Rfam family "tRNA". From Rfam's summary of the family: Transfer RNA (tRNA) molecules are approximately 80 nucleotides in length. Their secondary structure includes four short double-helical elements and three loops (D, anti-codon, and T loops). Further hydrogen bonds mediate the characteristic L-shaped molecular structure. tRNAs have two regions of fundamental functional importance: the anti-codon, which is responsible for specific mRNA codon recognition, and the 3' end, to which the tRNAs corresponding amino acid is attached (by aminoacyl-tRNA synthetases). tRNAs cope with the degeneracy of the genetic code in two manners: having more than one tRNA (with a specific anti-codon) for a particular amino acid; and 'wobble' base-pairing, i.e. permitting non-standard base-pairing at the 3rd anti-codon position. The record is from RNAcentral. Lineage: Bacteria; Pseudomonadati; Bacteroidota; Bacteroidia; Bacteroidales; Porphyromonadaceae.